Molecule: non-coding RNA, 147 nt
Organism: Pseudonaja textilis
Lineage: Eukaryota; Metazoa; Chordata; Lepidosauria; Squamata; Elapidae
Source: RefSeq, a predicted model, not a curated record
CUUAUUAAUUGACUUAUUAAGCAUUUAUUUACUCUUUUUAAAUCAUAAUGACAACAGAAACUACCCAAAUGGCCCUGAUCAAAAGUUUACAUACUCUGGUGAUUUUGGCCUGGUAACAUGCACACAGGUUGGCACAAGGGGUUUGAA